CUGAUCCAGCCAUACCGCGUGGGUGAAGAAGGCCUUCGGGUUGUAAAGCCCUUUUGUUGGGAAAGAAAAGCAAUCGAUUAAUACCCGGUUGUUCUGACGGUACCCAAAGAAUAAGCACCGGCUAACUUCGUGCCAGCAGCCGCGGUAAUACGAAGGGUGCAAGCGUUACUCGGAAUUACUGGGCGUAAAGCGUGCGUAGGUGGUUGUUUAAGUCUGUUGUGAAAGCCCUGGGCUCAACCUGGGAAUUGCAGUGGAUACUGGGCAACUAGAGUGUGGUAGAGGGUAGUGGAAUUCCCGGUGUAGCAGUGAAAUGCGUAGAGAUCGGGAGGAACAUCCAUGGCGAAGGCAGCUACCUGGACCAACACUGACACUGAGGCACGAAAGCGUGGGGAGCAAACAGGAUUAGAUACCCUGGUAGUCCACGCCCUAAACGAUGCGAACUGGAUGUUGGGUGCAAUUUGGCACGCAGUAUCGAAGCUAACGCGUUAAGUUCGCCGCCUGGGGAGUACGGUCGCAAGACUGAAACUCAAAGGAAUUGACGGGGGCCCGCACAAGCGGUGGAGUAUGUGGUUUAAUUCGAUGCAACGCGAAGAACCUUACCUGGUCUUGACAUGUCGAGAACUUUCCA
This 628-nucleotide ribosomal RNA is filed under the name Stenotrophomonas sp. Ri1Ps_4748. Its description in RNAcentral is "bacterial SSU rRNA". It matches the Rfam family "Bacterial small subunit ribosomal RNA", at positions 383 to 1002 of the family's 1533-position model. Lineage: Bacteria; Pseudomonadati; Pseudomonadota; Gammaproteobacteria; Lysobacterales; Lysobacteraceae. The record is from RNAcentral.